RNAcentral lists this long non-coding RNA (5144 nucleotides) under Sus scrofa (pig). RNAcentral describes it as "lncRNA (ENSSSCG00005011777.1)". Lineage: Eukaryota; Metazoa; Chordata; Mammalia; Artiodactyla; Suidae. The record is from RNAcentral.
UUUUUUUUUUUUUUUCAUGGAACAAAUAUUUGGGAAAUGAUGAAUGAAACCAUCAUCUAAACCCACUUAAGAAGAUGCCUUCUAACACAGGGUCCCCUGCUUGAGCAAAGGUGAUGGGCACAAAAUUCAGAUAGAAAACAGUACAUCCUUUGCUGUACUACAUUUUCCUUCGGGUUUUUUUUUUUUUGCCUUUUUUUUUUUUGUCUUUUCCAUGGCCGCUCCCACAACAUAUGGAAGUUCCCAGGCUAGGGGUCAAAUUGGAGCUGCAGCCGCUGGCCUAUGCCACAGCCACAGCAAUGUGGGACCCGAGCCGUGUCUGCAACCUACACCACAGCUCACGGCAACGCCGGGUCCUUAACCCACUGAGCGAGGCCAGGCAUCGAACCCGCAACCUCAUAGUUCCUAGUCGGAUUCGGUAACCCCUGAGCCACGAAGGGAACUCCUUCGUUUUUUAAAGUCUUCCUCAUGAGCUUCCUUUAAGUUGGGAUCCUCUAAUGAACAAGUAAAUCAGAAUCACAUAUAUUCAGGUUAUACACAACAUCUGUGGAACAGAGUGCAUCUGAGUUCAAUGCUCUCUUAGGCCUAACAGUAGUUGCUUUGAAUGAGAAUGUCGGAUGCUGGAAGAUAUGAAAUAGUUAAAAAAUACAAAUCUAAAGGAUGCUAGCUGAUAUUAGCUACAGUCUAUGCUCUUGAAAAUGACUUCUAUGAGGCCUAAUCAAUAAUAGUUAUACAUCACCAAUUUCCAUGUCUUAUUGACUCUGGGUAUGGCUGUCUCUAUUCAUCUUACUAAUUCCACACGUUACUUCAACACUGAUACUGAAUUCAAGUCAAUGGCAGAUCUGUAAUAAAUUAAUCAGUAUGCAAAAAAAUGGGAAACGCAGGUCCUACUCACGGGUAAUGCUCAGUGAAAGCCCUUGACAGUAUGCCUGUUGCUGCAACCUGGAGCCAGUUUACACAGUCAUAGCAACAAGGACCUGGAAUUUUCCUAUGAAGACAAGUGGGAAUCCAGAAACCCUCACCCAGAUGCUUUUUGAAGGUAAAAAACAAACAAACAAACACAUCCCUGCUGACUGCAUCAGGAUCUAAGACAUCGGGGGCGGGGGGGGGCGGGGUUAAAAUAGGAGGGAGGGAGAGUAGAGAUGCAGAAGAACGAUGAGGCGCAAGGAUGAUAAACCUCCUGGGAGAGAAACGGAUGCCAUCGCAGCGUGGAUGGAGGUUGCUGGCUCACCGUGGGAAGAGAGGGGACCAGGGUUUCUAGUCGUUCAAAGCCCUGGCUUAGCUCUAUCUCAUGCCUUUCUCUGACUUCCUCAAAAGGAAGGAACAUUUCUCCACCCACUAGAAUCCAAUCUCUCUUGAUUUCUAUUAUAAUUACCCAUGUUAUCUCUGUGUUUAAAUUAUGCAUACAUAUGUCUUACCUUCCUUAGUAGACUAUCAGCCUGAUUGAGGUCAGCUUCUAUGUUUUAAUUCAUUUCUCCAUCUCCUAGGAUCUUGCUCUGGGGAGCUAUUCAUUAUCAGUUGACCACAUGACUAAAUGCAUAAAAUAUAGGUUUGCUACAUCAAGGCAGUAAAAGGAUUGUUGGAUCUUGGAUGCAAAUGCAGAGGUGUUCUCAUCUUUGAGUUCAUGUAAAGGCUGACUCUUUGAAUUGUGAAUUACGGAAUACAAACUCUGCCGGUAGCAGACAACUUUUGAAAAGCCUUCCCUUUUGCUGUGCGUGCUUCCAGGCAUCCAGUCCAGACCUUGCAUCCAAACACCCAAAGGUAAGAAGAGAUGCUAGCUUAUUUCGAAAUGGAGUUUGAAGUCAGUCAGGUCUUAAUUGUGAGCGACUAUUAAGUUUAAGACACUGCCUUCGGCAGCCUCCUGUGUCUUCUUCCCUCCUAAGGGUUUGCUAAUACUGUAACCCAUUCCUUCCUCAACUCAGAAGCCCAUCAUCACACCUUAACUGGUCUGCCUCCACGCCUCUCUGCCCAGAUUGACACUUAACUUUAAUUUCCCCUUUCCCAAAACAAAACAACAAAAUCAAACUUUACAGAGGACUUAACUGUAUUCAAAUAUCCAUACAAUUCUAUCCAUGGCAACAGUCUCGGUUUUUCAGAAACUUCAUUUCCAGCGUCCCCCACCUCCACGGACAAAAGAAAAUGGGCCCCAGUGUCACAAACUUCGGCACCUCUCAAGGAACUAAUUAAAUCUCCUAGGACGCUCUCACCCACACCCUCAGAAAUCUGAAGGGUGUGCAAAAUCCAAACCCAAUUCAACACGAUGAUAAUAAAAGCCCUUUACUUUCUGUAACGCUCCAUCUUGGAUUUCUUUGUCUCUUUCCCCCCACAGAGUAGUAAAUUUCCAAAUUCCCCAAAGGUCAGGAGUUUGGCAAUGGAACAACGGGCGUCCUGUGGGGGAGAGCCUGGGGGGGAGGGUUGCUUCUCUCCAGGCUACUCCAGGGGGCUGUUGUCUCUCUUGGGAGCUUCAGGCGUCAUCAAAGUGGAUGAACGCUGGGCACAGCGGGAAACUCAGGCUCUGAGGUGAUGUUGCAACGCUGGGUACCUGCCACCCAGCUCGGGAAGCACAGACUCAGACCUGCUGCCUUGUGGGGGCUGCAGGUGAAGCCAAGUCUGAGAGGCCUCAAGUGGUGGGGUGAUGAGGUCUCUUCUAUUUGAGAGAGGAAAGGGGUUCUUCCAGCUCCUCCCCAAACCAGCUUGAAAAGGAAGAAAAGGCAAGAGAAGUAACACUUGGCUGGAAUGGUUUAAAUGUACCAAAGCUCAUAAUGCGUGAUUUUUGUUUUUGUUUUUGUUUUUUUGGUCUUUCUAGAGCCGUGCCUGCAGCAUAUGGAAGUUCCCAGGCUAAGGGUUGAAUGGAGCUGCAGACGCCACCCUGCAGCACAGCCACAGCCUCACCAGAUCUGAGCUGCAUCUACAGCGAUGCCGGAUCCUUAACACAAUGAGAGGGGCCAGGGAUCGAACCUGCAUCCUCAUGGAUGCUAGUCGAGUUCGUUACCACUGAGCCAUGACGGGAGUUCCGAUGCUGCAUGUUUCAUCUUUCAUCUUCACACAACCCUACAAGCAAGAAUGAUCACUCCCUCUAAAGACCAUCUGAAGCUCAAAAGAACUUCCUCAAAACUGGUAAAACCAGUGCAUUACGGAGGCAAGAUUCAAACCCAGGCUUGUUUGGUUCUUUUUUUUUUUUUUUUUUCUUUUUUUCUUUCACAGCUGUGGCACAUGGAAGUUCCAGGGCUAGGGAUUGAACUGUAACUGCAGCUACCUACAUUGCAGCCACAGCAAUGCAGGAUCUGAGCCGCAUCUGUGACCUAUGCCACAGCUUGUGGCAAUGCCAGAUCGUUAACCCAUUAGCAAGGCCAGGGAUCGAACCUUCGUCCUCACAGACAUUAUGCUGGGUUCUUAACCCACUGGGCUGCAACAGGAACUCCCUAUCUGGGUCUUAAAUCCCUGUUCUUACCAUAUACCACACUGCCUUUCAAAAGGAAAAACUGGUUUCUUUUCUUUUUUCUUUUUUUUUUUUUUUUUUUUUUUUAGGGCUGCACCUGCAGCAUAUGGAAGUUCCCAGGCUAGGGGUCGAAGCGGAACUACAGCUGCCAGCCUGCAUCACAGCCAGAGCAACGCCAGAUCCUUAGCCCACUGAGUGAGGCCAGGGAUCAAACCCACAACCCCUUGCUUCCUAGUCAGAUUCAUUUCCGCUGCACCACAACGGGAACUCUUUUGUUUGGUAUUUUCUAUAGCACAAAAUUAAUAUUCCAGCAGGAAGUCAAUUGUUUUUCCAGUGUGCUUGGGGGUACUUGUUAAAUUUCACAUUCCCUAUGUUAGUCGACUUGGGGUGCUUAAUAAUACGAAAAGUCUGCCAAACUCUACUUUCUGAGACAGAAUUCCUAGGAGUGAAGCUCUGAAAAUUUGCCCAUAUGCAGGUAGGUCUUCUGCACACGCCAUUUUGCUUCACUUAUUGGCAUGAAAUAAAUUAUUUGUUUUAUUAGGAAAUCAUUAAAUCUCAAAACCUUCUCCUACUGAAACAACCCUCGACCUAAACUCUAACCUAAAUACUUUUUCAGACGCUAUUGUUUAAUUUCAAUAAAAUGUUUCCUCUCCAUGUCACAAAUCAACAGGUAAGUGAUGUUAAACAUUUAUUUCGGGGAUCGGGCAUCAGCCCAUUCGUUCCAAAGCUUGUGGAGCCCUUGAGGUUAAGCAGCUAGAGCAAGGGGACCAGUGUAACUUGGAUAAGUCACAGAAAGGUGCCACUUUAUGGAAGAUGAGCUUAAGGACAGAAGAGAGAGGCAACAUCCUUUUUUUUUUUUUAAAGAGCUGCUACAAAAUCAGUUCAACUACUGCCCCUCGAGUCCCAAGAGUUGUCUUCCCAAAAGAGGGUCCACUACCCUUCAGACAAAGAACUCUUCCUCUAAUGUGGGAGCAAUCUAAGCGUCCGCUGAAAGAUGACUGGAUUAGGAUGUGAAAUAUACACACACACACAUAUAUGCACACACAGUGAAUAUUACUCUGCCAUAAAAAAGAACAAAAUCUUGCCAUUUGCAGCAAUACGGACAGACCAAGAGAGUAUCACUUCUUUCUGAUGAGAGUACUUAUCACUAGAAGCGGGCAGUUUGCUGAGUGACUCAGUCUCUUCCGUAAGCAAAUGGUUUACCAGGAUGACCAACAAUCAUAACCAGACAGCAAAUGGCAAAGGUGUAGACCAAGAAGAGAGAGCAGAAAAGGCCAGAAUUAACACUGACUAAGCAACAUGAAGGUGCUAGUUGCAGUCUUAGAAGUUUUGCAUACGUUUUCUAAUUUAAUCUUUACUGAAGCAUGUGGCUUUCCCAUACCUGUUUAAAAAUCCCAAGCAUUCUACCGAGGGGCUUCAGAGCACCUGCAUGUUAUUUUUAAAUUAACUUUCUCACUCUUUAGUAAGAACUCCACCGCAAGGUGUAUAAUAGAUAAAACUUUUGAAACAGUUUUUUCGGCUAUUAGAAAUGAAUACAAAGCCUUCUAUGUGUCAUAUGGUAGAACAGCACUUAACAAAUGCGUUAGUUCUUAAGUCCCUGUCAUGGCGCACUGGUUAACAAAUCUGACGAGGAACCAUGAAGUUGCGGGUUUGAUCCCUGGCCUUGAGUGGGUUCACGAUCUGGCGCUGCCGUGAGCUGUGGUGUAGG